This 497-nucleotide ribosomal RNA is filed under the name uncultured bacterium. RNAcentral describes it as "partial 16S ribosomal RNA". It matches the Rfam family "Bacterial small subunit ribosomal RNA", at positions 28 to 507 of the family's 1533-position model. The record is from RNAcentral.
GAUGAACGCUGGCGGCGUGCCUAAUACAUGCAAGUCGAGCGAACAGACGAGGAUCUUGCUCCUCUGACGUUAGCGGCGGACGGGUGAGUAACACGUGUAUAACCUACCUAUAAGACUGGUAUAACUUCGGGAAACCGGAUCUAAUACCGGAUAAUAUAUUGAACCGCAUGGUUCAAUAGUGAAAUACGGUUUUGCUGUCACUUAUAGAUGUAUCCGCGCCGCAUUAGCUAGUUGGUAAGGUAACGGCUUACCAAGGCAACGAUGCGUAGCCGACCUGAGAGGGGGAUCGGCCACACGGGAACUGAGACACGGUCCAGAGUCCUACGGGAGGCGGCAGUAGGGAAUCUUCCGCAAUGGGCGAAAGCUUGACGGAGCAACGCCGCGUGAGUGAUGAAGGUCUUCGGAUCGUAAAACUCUGUUAUUAGGGAAGAACAAAUGUGUAAGUAACUAUGCACGUAUUGACGGUACCUAAUCAGAAAGCCACGGCUAACUACGUG